Molecule: ribosomal RNA, 497 nt
Filed under: uncultured bacterium
Lineage: Bacteria
Description: partial 16S ribosomal RNA
Rfam family: Bacterial small subunit ribosomal RNA
Source: RNAcentral
GACGAACGCUGGCGGCGUGCCUAAUACAUGCAAGUUGAGCGCUGAAGGUUGGUACUUGUACCAACUGGAUGAGCCGCGAACGGGUGAGUAACGCGUGGGGAAUCUGCCUUUGAGCGGGGGACAACAUUUGGAAACGAAUGCUAAUACCGCAUAAAAACUUUAAACACAAGUUUUAAGUUUGAAAGAUGCAAUUGCAUCACUCAAAGAUGAUCCCGCGUUGUAUUAGCUAGUUGGUGAGGUAAAGGCUCACCAAGGCGAUGAUACAUAGCCGACCUGAGAGGGUGAUCGGCCACAUUGGGACGGAGACACGGCCCAAACGCCUACGGGAGGCAGCAGUAGGGAAUCUUCGGCAAUGGACGAAAGUCUGACCGAGCAACGCCGCGUGAGGGAAGAAGGUUUUCGGAUCGUAAAACUCUGUUGGUAGGGAAGAACGUUGGUGAGAGUGGAAAGCUCAUCAAGUGACGGUAACUACCCAGAAAGGGACGGCUAACUACGUG